ACUUAGUGGCGGACGGGUGAGUAAUGUAUGAGCAACCUGCCUUUCAGUGGGGGACAACAGUUGGAAACGACUGCUAAUACCGCAUGAUGUCGAUUGGGGGCAUCCCCGAAUGACCAAAGGAUUUAUUCGCUGAAAGAUGGGCUCAUAUCUGAUUAGCUAGUUGGUGAGGUAACGGCUCACCAAGGCUGCGAUCAGUAGCCGGACUGAGAGGUUGAACGGCCACAUUGGGACUGAGAUACGGCCCAGACUCCUACGGGAGGCAGCAGUGGGGAAUAUUGGGCAAUGGGGGGAACCCUGACCCAGCAACGCCGCGUGAAGGAAGAAGGCUUUCGGGUUGUAAACUUCUUUUACCAGGGACGAAAUAAAUGACGGUACCUGGAGAAAAAGCAACGGCUAACUACGUGCCAGCAGCCGCGGUAAUACGUAGGUUGCGAGCGUUGUCCGGAUUUACUGGGUGUAAAGGGCGUGUAGGCGGAGAUGCAAGUUGGGAGUGAAAUCCCGGGGCUCAACCCCGGAACUGCUUUCAAAACUGUAUCCCUUGAGUGUCGGAGAGGCAAGCGGAAUUCCUAGUGUAGCGGUGAAAUGCGUAGAUAUUAGGAGGAACACCAGUGGCGAAGGCGGCUUGCUGGACGAUAACUGACGCUGAGGCGCGAAAGUGUGGGGAGCAAACAGGAUUAGAUACCCUAGUAGUCCACGCCGUAAACGAUGAGUACUAAGUGUGGGAAUUUCCAGUGCUGAAGCUAAACGUAUUAAGUACUCCGCCUGAGUAGUACGGUCGCAAGGCUGAAACUCAAAGGAAUUGACGGGCACCCGCACAAGCGGUGGAGCAUGCUGUUUAAUUCGAAGAUACGCGAAGAACCUUACCUAGACUUGACAUCCCUGGCAAAGACAUGGAAACAUGUUGGAGGUUAACCGGGAGACAGGUGGUGCAUGGUUGUCGUCAGCUCGUGUCGUGAGAUGUUCGGUUAAGUCCGCUAACGAGCGCAACCCUUAUCCUUAGUUGCUAACAUUAAGUUGAGAACCCUAAGGAGACUGCCGGUGAUAAGCCGGAGGAAGGUGGGGAUGACGUCAAAUCAUCAUGCCCCUUACGUCUAGGGCUACAGGCGUGCUAUAAUGGCCAAUAUAAAGAGAAGCAAUACCGUGAGGUGGAGCAAAACUCCAAAGUUGGUCUCAGUUCGGAUUGAAGUCUGCAACUCGACUUCAUGAAGUUAGAAUCGCUAGUAAUCCUGAAUCAGAAUGUCAGGGUGAAUACGUUCCUCGGGUGUUGCACUCACCGCCCGUCA
This 1283-nucleotide ribosomal RNA is filed under the name uncultured bacterium. RNAcentral's name for it is "partial 16S ribosomal RNA". It matches the Rfam family "Bacterial small subunit ribosomal RNA", at positions 90 to 1399 of the family's 1533-position model. The record is from RNAcentral.